Long non-coding RNA from Peromyscus leucopus (white-footed mouse), 309 nucleotides. RefSeq lists it as uncharacterized. The transcript has 2 exons. The record is from RefSeq and is a predicted model, not a curated record. Lineage: Eukaryota; Metazoa; Chordata; Mammalia; Rodentia; Cricetidae.
GGAAAGUGCUCGUCACAGCCUGAUGACCACAGCAGCGAGAGAACUGACUCCUGGCGUUGUCUUCUGACCACACAGACACAAUAAGAAAAUAAAUCUUUAAAAAUCAAGAUAGUAAGACAAACAUUAGAAUGCUGCUGUUUUAUUGAAAUAUCUAUUUGUAACGGUAUGCUGCGUGUUUGCGGUCCCCUCAGAGUGCCGCUGGAGUUGCAGACAGUUGUGAGCUGCCUGGGGUGGGUGCUGUAAGCUGAACUUGGGCCUCUGGAAGAGCAACAUGGUCUCUUAAGUUCUGGGUCAUCUUCCAGCGCAACU